AUGGGUUCGAGAGUCUUUCUUGUCGCGGCCGUGCUGGCCAUGGCCGUGGCGGCGGCGGGGGCGGACGUCGCGGCGGACCGGGCGGAGUGCUCCGACAAGCUGGUGGCGCUGGCGACGUGCCUGACGUUCGUGCAGGGGCAGGGGCAGGCGCCGACGCCGGACUGCUGCGGGGGGCUGAAGACGGUGCUGCAGACCAGCCCCAAGUGCCUGUGCGUGCUCGUCAAGGACCGCGACGAUCCCGGCCUGGACUUGAAGCUCAACGUCACGAGGGCGCUCGGCCUCCCCGCCGCCUGCAGCGCGCCCGCCAACAUCUCCGACUGCCCAAGGCUACUGAACCUGCCGCCCAAUUCCAAGGACGCGGAGGUCUUCGAGCAGUUUGCCAAGCAGCAGGCAGCCCAGAGCAGCCCAAGUGGCGCGUCGAGUGCGCCGAGCACGGGCGCACAGAAGAACGCGGCGGCGAGGAUGAGGUGGUUGGGAGUGGGCGGAGUUGGUGUGGCCGCACGCGCAGCGCCGCUCCUCUUCUUCGCCGUGCCUUUCUUGCUCCUUCUGCGCUAA
RNAcentral lists this ribosomal RNA (555 nucleotides) under Triticum aestivum (bread wheat). RNAcentral's name for it is "partial small subunit ribosomal RNA". The record is from RNAcentral. Lineage: Eukaryota; Viridiplantae; Streptophyta; Magnoliopsida; Poales; Poaceae.